AAUAAACAUUAACGACAACAUUUAUCAACAACAAACCUUAAACAACAUACAAGAUACAACAAACAAAUCUUAUUAAAAACAAUAAAAUCAUCAACACAUAGCAUAAACUACAUACAACAUACUACUUUUAUUAAUAACAACAACAACAUAUCAGCUCAAAGAAAUAUUCAGAAAUGUACAUGUCCCAUAAUGGCAUCCACAAUGAAAGGAGGAUGAAGCUGAAGUGAGAGCUGCAAACUUGUGCUAAUUUUGAAUGGAUCUCAUCCUGGGUCUUUCACACAAGUUUUCAGAGCACACUUUAGCUUCAGAAAGUUCAAACAUUAUGAAACAAGCUAUUGAAACAUAAACAAUAAUACAUACAUAGAUUUUGAAACAUAAACUAUUAUGAAGACAAG
RNAcentral lists this long non-coding RNA (395 nucleotides) under Lathyrus oleraceus (garden pea). RNAcentral's name for it is "Pisum sativum (pea) long non-coding RNA (PSAT_LNC033471)". The record is from RNAcentral. Lineage: Eukaryota; Viridiplantae; Streptophyta; Magnoliopsida; Fabales; Fabaceae.